UGUUGUUGCUGCUGCUGCUGCUGCUGCUGAAACUGUUGCGGGAAUUGCUGCUGUUGCAAUUGUUGCGGGAAAAGGGGACUGCUUUGUUGAAAGGGCUGUGGCUGAGACCGAAACAGUGACUGUGGUUGCUGUUGUGGAGUUAAAAACGGAGAAAACGACAUUUGUGAUUAUGAAUCUAUGAUUCAAACUUCUUGUUAUAGUUUUUGCCUUGACAUUUGGUGUAUUUCGGUGUUCGUAUG
RNAcentral lists this unclassified non-coding RNA (239 nucleotides) under Hevea brasiliensis (rubber tree). Lineage: Eukaryota; Viridiplantae; Streptophyta; Magnoliopsida; Malpighiales; Euphorbiaceae. The record is from RNAcentral.